GCAGCUUCCCUGACUCUCCGAGGAAGGGAAGGCUGAGUGGCGAACGGGUGAGUAACGCGUGAGUAACCUGCCUUGAGGAGGGGGAUAACCCCUCGAAAGGGGGGCUAAUACCCCAUACACUCCAGGGCCGCAGGGCUUCUGGAGGAAAGCUGGCCUCUGCUUGGCAUGCUGGCGCCUCAAGAGGGGCUCGCGUCCCAUCAGCUUGUUGGUGGGGUAACGGCCUACCAAGGCGAUGACGGGUAGCCGGCCUGAGAGGGUGUCCGGCCACACUGGGACUGAGACACGGCCCAGACUCCUACGGGAGGCAGCAGUGAGGAAUCUUGGGCAAUGGGCGAAAGCCUGACCCAGCGACGCCGCGUGGGGGAAGAAGGCCUUCGGGUCGUAAACCCCUGUUCUGGGAGAAGAAGAGGGAAGGGGUGAACAGCUCCUUCCUGUGACGGUAUCCCAGGAGAAAGCUCCGGCUAAUUACGUGCCAGCAGCCGCGGUAAUACGUAAGGAGCGAGCGUUGUCCGGAUUCACUGGGCGUAAAGCGCUCGUAGGCGGCUCCCUAAGUCUCACGUGAAAGCCCUCGGCUCAACCGGGGAGGGUCGUGGGAAACUGGGGAGCUC
RNAcentral lists this ribosomal RNA (608 nucleotides) under Atribacteria bacterium SCG 110722-22. Its description in RNAcentral is "bacterial SSU rRNA". It matches the Rfam family "Bacterial small subunit ribosomal RNA", at positions 68 to 643 of the family's 1533-position model. Lineage: Bacteria; Pseudomonadati; Atribacterota. The record is from RNAcentral.